AUACGGGCUUUCAAAAGAAUGUGAUGUCCUUUUGGUGUUUUAGAUUCUCACCUAUGAGGUAUAAACAAAUCGCCUUGCAGACAAGUCUCAACACAGAACACAUGCUGCUUAUCACUGGCAAAGACUUGCAUCAGCCUGCCACCACGGCUGGCUCAUCUUGUCCCUCCAGGCCUGUGCCUGCUGGAACACUCCCACUCCCCAUGUCUGAAUACACCACUUCGGUUGGACCAAGAGUUUCCAGCUCGGGUGGCCCCUCCUUCCCUGGAAAUAAAUAGCUGCCUAUAGAAUAUCAGAGUCAUUCUGACUCAGGGGUGACUCAGCUCUUCCAUGACCUGUGUUCCCACUUCUCCUUGAUAAGGCCAAUGUUUUGGCCCUACUGGUGAAAAUAUGUAGACCUAACAUCUAUCUCCCUGCUCCAGUUUCAAGAGAAAAGACCUUAUUCAGAGAAAUAUUUAGAAGACUCUUGUGGAAUUCUUGCUGUGAGUGGUUUUUCCUUCCCUGCCAUUGGUGCGACUGUUUCCCCCUUCCGUCAAAUUGCUGUCUAGAUGUUUCUCUCUGACCCCAAUUUUCUCGGAGUUUGGGAUUAUCAAUCUAAAAUCAGAGGCAGGGAGGAACUUGGAUUGUCCUUCAGUAAAAUUCCACUUUGAUGCGCAAAGCGAACUUGAAUUUCUGCUUGGCCUACCACAGGCCUGCAACAUGCACUUUCUCCUCGAGGGAACUGCCACUCACUGACACGGACAACAGUAAAGGAACUUGGUCUUCACUAUGCCUCAUAGUGGUGGGUCACACUGCCCAGGAGGAACCCGCAAUGAGACCGGCAAAUGCCUUAACCAUCUCAUUGUCUCAUCAGGAAGAAGCUUAAAUGACUCUUCUUGCUCACAUACUUCCUGGGCAAACAUGUCUGCUCUGUUGGGAUAAAGGACGCUCUAGACCAGGCUCUGCUGAAAGAUCCAGGGCAAAGGUUCCUGACAAGACUAUGUCCAGCCUCAAAUAAGGCCACAGAAGAGCCCAGGCUCGCUGACGAGCACCGGCUCCGAGGCAGUCACAUCAGGAGACAGAAACAGACAUGUUGGUGCUGCCCUCUCAGGUCAGUGCAAAUGCCACUUGAGGAGGGCUGAGAGCUUUGCAGCAUAAAAUGACCAGAACAAGGAGAAACACAGAUGCAAUGGCAAUAGCUGGCAAUUCGCACAUGGCGUCAAACACCACUGCCACAGAAGCUUUUUAGCUACAAGCCACGCUAUGCAACCUUUAAGCAAAACAUUAUUGAUUUUGUGGUUGUAAAAACAUACCUUCAACUGCAGAACUCAGUUUUAUGACACCUUGAAUAAAAACAAAAAGUGGCAGUUAUAUAAUGGACCCAAAUCGCCUUUUCCAGGCUUCUCAUAACACACGCAUGCUUCAGAUUUGGAUUUUUCUUUUUCUGCUGGCAUUGCAAGAACGUAACUAAACAAAUAUCAACUUCAAAAAUAAAAUAAUUUUUAGUCUUAA
This 1488-nucleotide long non-coding RNA is filed under the name Homo sapiens (human). RNAcentral describes it as "HSALNT0392573". Lineage: Eukaryota; Metazoa; Chordata; Mammalia; Primates; Hominidae. The record is from RNAcentral.